RNAcentral lists this ribosomal RNA (453 nucleotides) under unidentified nematode Sourhope farm. RNAcentral describes it as "SSU rRNA". It matches the Rfam family "Eukaryotic small subunit ribosomal RNA", at positions 81 to 529 of the family's 1831-position model. Lineage: Eukaryota; Metazoa; Nematoda. The record is from RNAcentral.
GGGAAACUGCGUACGGCUCAUUACACCAGCCUUAAUUUACUUGACCUUGACAACCUACUUGGAUAACUGUGGUAAUUCUAGAGCUAAUACAUGCACCAAAGCUCCGAUCCUCGCGGAGAGGAGCGCAUUUGUUCGCCACAAAACCAAGCCCCCAUCUGGGCGUCCAGUGCUGAACCAGAACAACUCAGCUGAUCGCACGGUCUUGUACCGGCGACGUGUCUUUCAAGUGUCUGCCUUAUCAACUUUCGAUGGUAGUGUACCUGACUACCAUGGUUGUGACGGGUAACGGAGGAUAAGGGUUCGACUCCGGAGAAGGGGCCUGAGAAAUGGCCACUACGUCUAAGGAUGGCAGCAGGCGCGCAAAUUACCCACUCUCAACGCGAGGAGGUAGUGACGAGAAAUAACGAGACCGUUCUCAUACGAGGCCGGUUAUUGGAAUGGGUACAAUUUAAA